CCGCCACCACCCAGCCUGCUGCAGUGAGAACGAACGACAUAUGUCAUCUCAUCGCGACGCCGUCUUUGGGGAGCUCUCCUUGGUGCGGCCUCCUCCUCGAGUCGUCACUUCGGCGUGACGGUAAACAUUGUCUUUUCGUGCCCUGAACUGCAAAAAAUAAAAUUUCACAUAAGCACAUAUAUUGAAAGAAAAAUGUCGUCUUUAGCCAUGUUACAUGUUCUCUAACUCGAAUUCGUCUCUUGAGUUUCUGAUGGUAGAUACUGUUUUUUUUCUCAAGUGGUACUGAAAGACGAUUGACAAAGGAGUUGCCUGAACCAAUUUGCCCAAAUGAAACAUCAAAUAAAGGAAAAACCUUCCUAAAGCAAGAAAAUAAAAGGGAUUAUACUUGUGUUUACGCUAAUAAAGAAAAGGCCUCUCUCAUGCAAGGAAAAUCAAAGAAGAAUGUCUACGUUGGCUUGGCUGGGGUUCAGAAGAGCUCAUUCGGUUCCUGCUCGCUCAAGUGGUGGAGGAAAAAUCCCGUCAAAGGUGUGGUGGAUACUCAUGGGCCAUGAAGUGCACGCCCCAGCCUCUCAACACCCAAGCUCCUCCCGCGGAGAGCCGCCGUCACCGUCGCCAUGUCCCUUGCCCGAGCCACUUCCGUUCGUCCACGAGUGCGCGCAUGCACCUACGUCCCUGGCGACCUAUACUUUCCAUUCUUCUCUGCUAUUCCUUUAUGAAAUAUUCUCGCUCGCAUGGGAAGCAACUCCCAUGGCGCUCGAGACCUCGAGCUCCGUGCGAGCUCCUCGCGUUGGCAACCGACAGAUCCGACCUUCCCCUCGCUGAAUCCGGUCCACCAUGAGCCCCAAGCCGCGCUGCCUCCGCACUCCUUCUCCUCCUCGCCGUCGGCAAGCCCCGCCACCGAUCCGUUCUUCCAGCCGUGCCUGCGAGCGCUUUGUUCCUCAUCUCCAUGGAUCUCUUUUCUCUGGUCUAUUGCGCGACCAACUGGUCUACCGCCACUUAUUGGCACUCCUCGCCCCCUGCGGAGAGGAGAAUGUGUGUGUGUGUGUGUGUGUGUGGUGGGGGGCUAGAUACAGGCUACGGGAAGAAGAUGCUUUUGAGCGAGGGAGAAAGAGUUACCGGGGCCUAGUUCAUCGCUCUUGUGGACGCGGUGCUCCUGCUCGCCUCCCUCCCCACGUCGAGCACAAUGGAUUU
This 1191-nucleotide long non-coding RNA is filed under the name Hordeum vulgare. RNAcentral describes it as "long non-coding RNA (HVUL_LNC011227)". Lineage: Eukaryota; Viridiplantae; Streptophyta; Magnoliopsida; Poales; Poaceae. The record is from RNAcentral.